Molecule: long non-coding RNA, 782 nt
Filed under: Linum usitatissimum (flax)
Lineage: Eukaryota; Viridiplantae; Streptophyta; Magnoliopsida; Malpighiales; Linaceae
Description: long non-coding RNA (LUSI_LNC007595)
Source: RNAcentral
CUUCUUCGUUUUUGAUUUUUUUGUUUGAAACUUUCAAUCGAAUGAAACCGCCACCAUCACCAUUUCUUCACUUUAGAAUUCGCGCAUGGAACCCACCAACCGUCGUCAUCGCUCACCUUGAAGAACCCCGCUGUCUCAGAGCAUGAAGAACUACCGCCGUAAAGACUCAAUGCCGUCUAGACCUGUCGCGUUCUAAAAUUCAAGCACGGCGACCAAUUCAAGCCGGGAUCGAAUGAAAAGGUUAGUAAACGUUCCUUAUUCCCUUUUGUAAUUGUUUUUGUACAAUUUUUUUCUAUUCAUCUGAUUCUGAGUCAUUAAUUAGGAUUCAUUUUUUUCUCAUCCAAAAACCCUAUUUCAAAUUUAGUUCUUUACUUUGCAUGUAGAGUUUUCUUGUUUAAUUCCAAAUCUAAAUUUAGCAUACUUGAUUUGUUUCCAGGUUUUUUGGGGGGAUAUUGGGGUUUUUGCUGGGGUUGGGAUGUUACUGCCCACGCCCCUUCCUCUGUGUAAAAUUACUUUCCUUUACUCUUUGAAUGUUGUUAAUAUUACAUGUAGAUAUCGUUUAUAAAAAAAUAGCGUAUCUGUACACUUUGUUUCUUAAAUGGGAUUAAUUAUGCUUAUUGAUUAUAAAUUACCAUACUCGUAUAUUAUGUGUUUAAAUUGUUAAAUAAGAACAUUCUGUUUUUCUGGGAACUGCCUGUAUAGUGUGAGAGAGAUUAUUAUUGGAAUUACAAAAAUGCCAUGCAUUGAGUUGAUUUUUUGGGAGAUCAACACCAAUGUUUGAA